Molecule: long non-coding RNA, 1036 nt
Organism: Peromyscus leucopus (white-footed mouse)
Lineage: Eukaryota; Metazoa; Chordata; Mammalia; Rodentia; Cricetidae
Exons: 2
Source: RefSeq, a predicted model, not a curated record
AGUUUGCCAUGCUCAUCCCAGAAGAGUCACACGAAAAAGAAAGUCCAGACAUGCAGCUUAAGUUGAGACAGCAGGGUGCAGGGAGUGUGGAGCCAGGCAGAGUGGCCAGCUUCACCGGCUGUGGAUGAGAAGGCAGUGGUGGGAGGAAUCUUGGAAACCAGACAGCCCCGAAGCAAAAGGCUCCGCAAGUGCCAGCAAGAAACCUGAGCUGAGAGAUCAUCUAAAGGCGCCGCCUGCCACGCCCUGGAGAGAACCCCAUCCCAGCUCGGGAAGGAAUGGAGGCCAGCCCCUGGAAACACAGCUUCUCCUUGGUGGCUUGGGACACAGGGUUUCCCAUGGCCAUCUAGUAAAGUCUCAGCCCGGAGGAAUGAGCCUGAAUACACCAGCCAGACUGAUGAGUCCCAGCAGAAUUCACACCUUGAUGGCUCACACUCUCCCCGCUGCUGGAAGAUUGCUGAGGGCAGCUGGAGGUAAUGGGGAAGAAGACUCCCGAAGGUAUCAAACACUUUGGGUCCCACAAAUACAGAUGAACAGUAGCUGACCAUUUGAGGGGGGUGACCAGGAUGAGGUCACUUUCACUUGCCUCCCUUCCACUUUGCUUUUGAAAUUCUGAAGUGAAUUCUCACUUAAUUAAGUAGCUAACUGCUAAACAAUCUUCCUUUAGAUUUACAGAGCCCAGAACAUCUGGUGCCCUUUGUAAUGCUCUCCCUUAGUCUGCAGUUCUGUUUUUCAACCAACACAAAACAUGUAAAUGGCUGUGGGGCUCAAAUUUGCAGAAAAGUAAUAUAUCUGUUUUCAGAAAAUAUAAGAACUACUCUCGGAGGUCAAGGUAAAUUAUGAUGUUCCAACCAAAAUAAAAAUAAAGAGACACGCACCCUGGAUGAUUGACACCUGGCUCUGCACGCAGCUGUUCUGCCCUGUUCCUCUUUCAGUCACCAGAAAACUCCUCGGUACCCUGAGACACCCCCCCAAAAAUGGAUCAACAGCCCCUCCAUCUCCUAAGAUGUCAGUCCUUAAAUAAACCAGAUUCCUCUCG